Molecule: ribosomal RNA, 440 nt
Filed under: uncultured bacterium
Lineage: Bacteria
Description: partial 16S ribosomal RNA
Rfam family: Bacterial small subunit ribosomal RNA
Source: RNAcentral
CCUACGGGUGGCAGCAGUAGGGAAUAUUGCUCAAUGGGGGAAACCCUGAAGCAGCAACGCCGCGUGGAGGAUGAAGGUUUUCGGAUUGUAAACUCCUUUUGUUAGAGAAGAUAAUGACGGUAUCUAACGAAUAAGCACCGGCUAACUCCGUGCCAGCAGCCGCGGUAAUACGGAGGGUGCAAGCGUUACUCGGAAUCACUGGGCGUAAAGAGCGCGGAGGCGGGAGAGCAAGUCAGAUGUGAAAUCCUAGGGCUUAACCAUAGAACUGCAUUUGAAACUGUGAUUCUAGAGUAUGGGAGAGGUAGGUGGAAUUCUUGGUGGAGGGGUAAAAUCCGUAGAGAUCAAGAGGAAUACUCAUUGCGAAGGCGACCUGCUAGAACAUAACUGACGCUGAGGCGCGAAAGCGUGGGGAGCAAACAGGAUUAGAUACCCGUGUAGUC